This 253-nucleotide ribosomal RNA is filed under the name uncultured bacterium. Its description in RNAcentral is "partial 16S ribosomal RNA". It matches the Rfam family "Bacterial small subunit ribosomal RNA", at positions 524 to 776 of the family's 1533-position model. The record is from RNAcentral.
UACGUAGGGUGCAAGCGUUAAUCGGAAUGACUGGGCGUAAAGGGUGCGCAGGCGGCCUGUUAAGGCAGAGGUGAAAUCCCCGGGCUUAACCUGGGAAUGGCCUAUGUGACUGUCAGGCUAGAGGAUGGCAGAGGGAGGCGGAAUUCCACGUGUAGCAGUGAAAUGCGUAGAGAUGUGGAGGAACACCGAUGGCGAAGGCAGCCUCCUGGGCCAAUUCUGACGCUCAGGCACGAAAGCGUGGGGAUCAAACAGG